UACGGGGGGAGCAAGCGUUGUUCGGAAUCACUGGGCGUAAAGGGCGUGUAGGCGGAUAGGUAAGUGGGAUGUGAAAUGCCUCGGCUCACCCGAGGAACUGCAUUCCAAACUGCCAGUCUUGAGUACGGGAGAGGAUGAGGGAAUUCCUGGUGUAGCGGUGAAAUGCGUAGAUAUCAGGAGGAACACCGGUGGCGAAGGCGCUCAUCUGGCCCGAUACUGACGCUGAGGCGCGAAAGCUAGGGGAGCGAACGGG
RNAcentral lists this ribosomal RNA (253 nucleotides) under uncultured bacterium. RNAcentral describes it as "partial 16S ribosomal RNA". It matches the Rfam family "Bacterial small subunit ribosomal RNA", at positions 524 to 776 of the family's 1533-position model. The record is from RNAcentral.